Molecule: transfer-messenger RNA, 352 nt
Filed under: Desulfarculaceae
Lineage: Bacteria; Pseudomonadati; Thermodesulfobacteriota; Desulfarculia; Desulfarculales
Also listed under: 1 other name
Description: JACRDC01 sp016218705 Standard tmRNA
Rfam family: transfer-messenger RNA
About the family: Bacterial tmRNA, also known as 10Sa RNA or SsrA, is named for its dual tRNA and mRNA-like properties. Its role is to liberate the mRNA from a stalled ribosome.
Source: RNAcentral
GGGGGCGACAUGGUUUCGACGGGGGCAGUUGCGGUGCAAGUGGCAUGUCGGGGUCCGUCGGCCCGUUAUCCGGUGGGAACUAAAGUAAUCGCAGACGAUUACGCAUACGCCGUAGCCGCGUAAAGGCUACCGUCUCCCCGGUCUACUCCUGCGGGGCCGGGAGGGGCGACGAUUAGCGGGAUAGGUUACGGACACCGCCUAGCCGGUCCGGUACCGAAAUAAAAGGUGGGGCUAGCCAAAGACGAAUCCUGCCCUUGGGAGUUGUCGAGGCGAAAUUAAAUCAAGGGAUAAACAUGUAGAAGCUUGUGCCAAAUGCUUUCGGACGGGGGUUCGAUUCCCCCCGCCUCCACCA